CGCGGAUAUGGGCUGGCAUACGUGACCUAGCGGUAGGAUAUUA
Molecule: ribosomal RNA, 43 nt
Filed under: Penicillium ochrochloron
Lineage: Eukaryota; Fungi; Ascomycota; Eurotiomycetes; Eurotiales; Aspergillaceae
Description: partial 18S ribosomal RNA
Source: RNAcentral